This 37-nucleotide transfer RNA is filed under the name Serratula tinctoria. RNAcentral's name for it is "partial tRNA-Leu". The record is from RNAcentral. RNAcentral also lists the same sequence under 1 other name. Lineage: Eukaryota; Viridiplantae; Streptophyta; Magnoliopsida; Asterales; Asteraceae.
AAAAUCCGUCGAUUUAAAAAAUCGUGAGGGUUCAAGU